Molecule: ribosomal RNA, 468 nt
Filed under: uncultured bacterium
Lineage: Bacteria
Description: partial 16S ribosomal RNA
Rfam family: Bacterial small subunit ribosomal RNA
Source: RNAcentral
GACGAACGCUGGCGGCGUGCUUAACACAUGCAAGUCGAACGGAAAGGCCCUGCUGUUGUGGGGUGCUCGAGUGGCGAACGGGUGAGUCACACGUGAGUAACCUGCCCUUGACUUUGGGAUAACUUCAGGAAACUGGGGCUAAUACCGGAUAGGAGCUCCUGCUGCAUGGUGGGGGUUGGCAAGUUUGGGAGGUUGGGGAUGGACUCGCGGCUUAUCAGCUUGUUGGUGGGGUAGUGGCUUACCAAGGCUUUGACGGGUAGCCGGCCUGAGAGGGUGACCGGGCACAUUGGGAGUGAGAUACGGCACAGACUCGUACGGGAGGUAGGUGUGGGGAUGAUUGCAUAAUGGGCCGAAGCCGGAUGCAGCAACGCUGCGUUCGGGAUGAUGGACUUCGGUUGUUAAACCGCAUUCGCAUGUGCCGAAGCGUGAGUGACGGUAAUGGGUGAAGAAGCACCGGCUAACUACGUG